This 358-nucleotide ribosomal RNA is filed under the name uncultured bacterium. RNAcentral describes it as "partial 16S ribosomal RNA". It matches the Rfam family "Bacterial small subunit ribosomal RNA", at positions 338 to 693 of the family's 1533-position model. The record is from RNAcentral.
CCUACGGGUGGCAGCAGUGAGGAAUAUUGGUCAAUGGACGAGAGUCUGAACCAGCCAAGUAGCGUGAAGGAUGACUGCCCUAUGGGUUGUAAACUUCUUUUAUAAAGGAAUAAAACGAGGCACGUGUGCCGUUUUGCAUGUACUUUAUGAAUAAGGAUCGGCAAACUCCGUGCCAGCAGCCGCGGUAAUACGGGAGAUCCGAGCGUUAUCCGGAUUUAUUGGGUUUAAAGGGAGGGUAGAUGUGUUGUUAAGUCAGGUGUGAAAGUUUGGGGCUCAACCGUAAAAUUGCAAUGGAUACUGGCAGUGUUGAGUACAGUUGAGGUAAGCGGAAUUCGUGGUGUAGCGGUGAAAUGCUUAG